This 450-nucleotide ribosomal RNA is filed under the name uncultured bacterium. RNAcentral's name for it is "partial 16S ribosomal RNA". It matches the Rfam family "Bacterial small subunit ribosomal RNA", at positions 354 to 796 of the family's 1533-position model. The record is from RNAcentral.
GUGGGGAAUUUUGGACAAUGGGCGCAAGCCUGAUCCAGCAAUGCCGCGUGCAGGAAGAAGGCCUUCGGGUUGUAAACUGCUUUUGUACGGAACGAAAAGGCUCUGGUUAAUACCUGGGGCUCAUGACGGUACCGUAAGAAUAAGCACCGGCUAACUACGUGCCGGCAGCCGCGGUAAUACGUAGGGUGCAAGCGUUAAUCGGAAUUACUGGGCGUAAAGCGUGCGCAGGCGGUUUUGUAAGACAGACGUGAAAUCCCCGGGCUCAACCUGGGAAUGGCGCUUGUGACUGCAAGGCUGGAGUGCGGCAGAGGGGGAUGGAAUUCCGCGUGUAGCAGUGAAAUGCGUAGAUAUGCGGAGGAACACCGAUGGCGAAGGCAAUCCCCUGGGCCUGCACUGACGCUCAUGCACGAAAGCGUGGGGAGCAAACAGGAUUAGAAACCCUGGUAGUCC